CUACGGGAGGCUGCAGUGGGGAAUAUUGGACAAUGGGGGAAACCCUGAUCCAGCAAUGCCGCGUGUGUGAAGAAGGCCUGCGGGUUGUAAAGCACUUUCGGUUGGGAGGACUGCUUCUAGCACUAAUAUUGUUGGAAGUUGACGUUACCUUCAGAAGAAGCACCGGCUAACUCCGUGCCAGCAGCCGCGGUAAUACGGAGGGUACAAGCGUUAAUCGGAAUUACUGGGCGUAAAGCGCGCGUAGGCGGCUAGAUCAGUCGGGUGUGAAAGCCCCGGGCUUAACCUGGGAACUGCAUCCGAUACUGUCUAGCUUGAGUACAGGAGAGGAGAGUGGAAUUCCACAUGUAGCGGUGAAACGCGUAGAUAUGUGGAGGAACACCAAUGGCGAAGGCAGCUCUCUGGCCUGAUACUGACGCUGAGGUGCGAAAGCGUGGGGAGCAAACAGGAUUAGAUACCCCGGUAGUC
This 465-nucleotide ribosomal RNA is filed under the name uncultured bacterium. RNAcentral describes it as "partial 16S ribosomal RNA". It matches the Rfam family "Bacterial small subunit ribosomal RNA", at positions 339 to 795 of the family's 1533-position model. The record is from RNAcentral.